Molecule: ribosomal RNA, 886 nt
Filed under: uncultured Flavobacteriia bacterium
Lineage: Bacteria; Pseudomonadati; Bacteroidota; Flavobacteriia
Description: bacterial SSU rRNA
Rfam family: Bacterial small subunit ribosomal RNA
Source: RNAcentral
UGCAAGUCGAGGGGCAGCUCGUGUAGCAAUACCUGGCGGCGACCGGCAAACGGGUGCGGAACACGUACGCAACCUUCCCAAAACUGGUGAAUAGCCCUCCGAAAGGAGGAUUAAUACACCGUAAGAUAAUGAGACGGCAUCGUCUUAUUAUUAUAGGCCGCAAGGUCGGUUUUGGAUGGGCGUGCGCCUGAUUAGAUAGUUGGCGGGGUAACGGCCCACCAAGUCUACGAUCAGUAACUGGUGUGAUAGCACGACCAGUCACACGGGCACUGAGACACGGGCCCGACUCCUACGGGAGGCAGCAGUAAGGAAUAUUGGUCAAUGGACGCAAGUCUGAACCAGCCAUGCCGCGUGAAGGAUGAAGGCCCUCUGGGUUGUAAACUUCUUUUAUAGGGGACGAAAAAAGCUCAUUCUUGAGCACUUGACGGUACCCUAGGAAUAAGCACCGGCUAACUCCGUGCCAGCAGCCGCGGUAAUACGGAGGGUGCAAGCGUUAUCCGGAUUUACUGGGUUUAAAGGGUGCGUAGGUGGAUUAGUAAGUCAGUGGUGAAAUCUCCGGGCUUAACCCGGAAACUGCCAUUGAUACUAUUAGUCUUGAAUUAUCUGGAGGUGAGCGGAAUAUGUCAUGUAGCGGUGAAAUGCUUAGAUAUGACAUAGAACACCAAUUGCGAAGGCAGCUCACUACGGAUAUAUUGACACUGAGGCACGAAAGCGUGGGGAUCAAACAGGAUUAGAUACCCUGGUAGUCCACGCCCUAAACUAUGGAUACUCGACAUCAGCGAUACACUGUUGGUGUCUGAGCGAAAGCAUUAAGUAUCCCACCUGGGAAGUACGAUCGCAAGAUUGAAACUCAAAGGAAUUGACGGGGGUCCGCACAAGCGGUGGA